CCGGAGAGGGAGCCUGAGAAACGGCUACCACAUCUAAGGAAGGCAGCAGGCGCGCAAAUUACCCAAUUCUAACAGCAUAAGAGAGGUAGUGACAAGAAAUAACAGUACAAGGCAGUUAAAAUGCUUUGUAAUUGGAAUGAUAGAAAUUUAAAUACUUUUUAAAGUAUCAAUUGGAGGGCAAGUCUGGUGCCAGCAGCCGCGGUAAUUCCAGCUCCAAUAGCGUAUAUUAAAAUUGUUGCAGUUAAAAAGCUCGUAGUUGAAUUUUUGCUAAAAAUAACCGGUCUGCUUUUAUUAAUAAAAGUGGUAUCUUGGUGUGUUUCUAGCAAUAAUGUCCUUUGAAAUGUUUUUUACUUCAAUGUAAAAAGCAAUUUUCAGGA
RNAcentral lists this ribosomal RNA (377 nucleotides) under Hepatozoon sp. RNAcentral describes it as "SSU rRNA". It matches the Rfam family "Eukaryotic small subunit ribosomal RNA", at positions 383 to 763 of the family's 1831-position model. The record is from RNAcentral. Lineage: Eukaryota; Apicomplexa; Hepatozoidae.